CCUACGGGAGGCAGCAGUGGGGAAUAUUGGACAAUGGGGGGAACCCUGAUCCAGCCACGCCGCGUGUGUGAAGAAGGCCCUCGGGUUGUAAAGCACUUUCAGUGAGGAAGAACGCCUGGUGGUUAAUACCCAUCAGGAAAGACAUCACUCACAGAAGAAGCACCGGCUAACUCCGUGCCAGCAGCCGCGGUAAUACGGAGGGUGCGAGCGUUAAUCGGAAUUACUGGGCGUAAAGCGCGCGUAGGUGGCUUGAUAAGCCGGUUGUGAAAGCCCCGGGCUCAACCUGGGAACGGCAUCCGGAACUGUCAAGCUAGAGUGCAGGAGAGGAAGGUAGAAUUCCCGGUGUAGCGGUGAAAUGCGUAGAGAUCGGGAGGAAUACCAGUGGCGAAGGCGGCCUUCUGGACUGACACUGACACUGAGGUGCGAAAGCGUGGGUAGCAAACAGGAUUAGAUACCCUGGUAGUC
Molecule: ribosomal RNA, 465 nt
Filed under: Vreelandella stevensii
Lineage: Bacteria; Pseudomonadati; Pseudomonadota; Gammaproteobacteria; Oceanospirillales; Halomonadaceae
Description: partial 16S ribosomal RNA
Rfam family: Bacterial small subunit ribosomal RNA
Source: RNAcentral